RNAcentral lists this ribosomal RNA (253 nucleotides) under uncultured bacterium. Its description in RNAcentral is "partial 16S ribosomal RNA". It matches the Rfam family "Bacterial small subunit ribosomal RNA", at positions 524 to 776 of the family's 1533-position model. The record is from RNAcentral.
UACAGAGGGUGCAAGCGUUAAUCGGAAUUACUGGGCGUAAAGCGUGCGUAGUCGGUUAUUUAAGUCGGAUGUGAAAUCCCCGGGCUCAACCUGGGAAUUGCAUUCGAUACUGGAUAGCUAGAGUUCGGCAGAGGGAAGCGGAAUUUCUGGUGUAGCGGUGAAAUGCGUAGAUAUCAGGAGGAACACCGGUGGCGAAGGCGGCUCUCUGGUCCACAACUGACGCUGAGGUGCGAAAGCUAGGGGAGCAAACGGG